UGGCGAACGGGUGAGUAACACGUGGGUGAUCUGCACUGCACUUCGGGAUAAGCUUGGGAAACUGGGUCUAAUACAGGAUAGGAGCCAUCUUUAGUGUGGUGGUUGGAAAGUUUUUUCGGUGUAGGAUGAGCUCGCGGCCUAUCAGCUUGUUGGUGGGGUAAUGGCCUACCAAGGCGGCGACGGGUAGCCGGCCUGAGGGGGUGUACGGCCACAUUGGGACUGAGAUACGGCCCAG
This 235-nucleotide ribosomal RNA is filed under the name uncultured Actinomycetales bacterium. Its description in RNAcentral is "partial 16S ribosomal RNA". It matches the Rfam family "Bacterial small subunit ribosomal RNA", at positions 96 to 334 of the family's 1533-position model. Lineage: Bacteria; Bacillati; Actinomycetota; Actinomycetes; Actinomycetales. The record is from RNAcentral.